This 497-nucleotide ribosomal RNA is filed under the name uncultured bacterium. RNAcentral describes it as "partial 16S ribosomal RNA". It matches the Rfam family "Bacterial small subunit ribosomal RNA", at positions 28 to 507 of the family's 1533-position model. The record is from RNAcentral.
GAUGAACGCUGGCGGCGUGCCUAAUACAUGCAAGUCGAGCGAACAGAUGAGGUUCUUGCUCCUCUGACGUUAGCGGCGGACGUGUGAGUAACAUGUGGUUAACCUACCUAUAAGACUGGGAUAACUUCGGGAAACCGGUGCUAAUACCGGAUAAUAUCUUGAACCGCAUGGUUCAAUAGUGAAAGACGGUUUUGCUGUCACUUAUACAUGUAUGCGCGCCGCAUGAGCUAUUUGGUAAGGUAACUGCUUACCGAGGCAACCAUGCGUAGCCGACCUGAGAGGGGGAUGGGCGACACUGGAACUGAGACACGGUCCAGACUCCUACGGGAGGCAGAAGUAGGGAAUCGACGGAGAUGGGGGGAAUCCUGACGGAGCAGCGCAGCGCGGGUGAUGAAGGGCUGCGGAUCGUAAAACGCUGUUAUGAGGGAAGAACAAAUGUGUAAGUAACUAUGCACGUCGUGACGGUACCUAAUCAGAAAGCAACGGCUAACUACGUG